This 429-nucleotide ribosomal RNA is filed under the name Gemmatimonadota bacterium. RNAcentral's name for it is "Gemmatimonadetes bacterium partial 16S ribosomal RNA". It matches the Rfam family "Bacterial small subunit ribosomal RNA", at positions 355 to 776 of the family's 1533-position model. Lineage: Bacteria; Pseudomonadati; Gemmatimonadota. The record is from RNAcentral.
UAGGGAAUCUUCGGCAAUGGACGAAAGCCUGACCGAGCAACGCCGCGUGAGUGAAGAAGGUUUUCGGAUCGUAAAACUCUGUUGUUAGAGAAGAACAAGGACGUUAGUAACUGAACGUCCCCUGACGGUAUCUAACCAGAAAGCUACGGCUAACUACGUGCCAGCAGCCGCGGUAAUACGUAGGUGGCAAGCGUUGUCCGGAUUUAUUGGGCGUAAAGCGAGCGCAGGCGGUUUCUUAAGUCUGAUGUGAAAGCCCCCGGCUCAACCGGGGAGGGUCAUUGGAAACUGGGAGACUUGAGUGCAGAAGAGGAGAGUGGAAUUCCAUGUGUAGCGGUGAAAUGCGUAGAUAUAUGGAGGAACACCAGAGGCGAAGGCGGCUCUCUGGUCUGUAACUGACGCUGAGGCGCGAAAGCGUGGGGAGCAAACAGG